This 527-nucleotide long non-coding RNA is filed under the name Equus caballus (horse). RNAcentral describes it as "lncRNA (ENSECAG00000059082.1)". The record is from RNAcentral. Lineage: Eukaryota; Metazoa; Chordata; Mammalia; Perissodactyla; Equidae.
AUAAAAAGGAAUAAAGCUUUGUGAUCCUCAGCAUCUGCCUAAAGCCCCAUAGCCUGAUAAAGUUUUCUGUGAGUACUUCCGACUGAACCACUGCAAGGAGCCCCAUCCAUGACCCUAUGAUCGUUGCAAAGUCAUGGUAAUUUCACAAGCAAACAUAACUAGAAGAUAGCAAUAGGCUCCAUCAAAUCCAUCAAGACCACUUGCAUCUCGGCUUCAUUCAGUAGCAAAUGAGGUCAUGUCUAUCUGAGACAGUGCAAAAUUUUAUGGCUGAAGUUGGCUGAAAUUUCAGGCUGAAAUUCUUAUCCCAAACCAAAACAAAGAUUAAUUAUGUAAUAUUUUCAUAGCAUCUGUCUCUUGGUUUGGAUUCACCCAAGAGCAACACUGAGAGCCUGAAACUCCUAGAAAAGAACAAGGCAGGAUGCAUUAGGAGACUGAGACAGUGCAUCGUAUCCUGAGAGAUUUGGUCCCCUGGAAUAAGACUAGGGAGCUAGGAGAAGAGACCAGGCAGCAUUAUAUCCUCGGUAUUG